AAGGGUUGCGAUGAGGAUAACAAGCUCCCUCUUCUGAAAUGAAGCUGAGGACGAUUGCUGGCAGAAUCGAACCUAAUAAUCAAACGCCACUACUGAGUAA
Macadamia integrifolia is the source of this 100-nucleotide small nucleolar RNA. RefSeq annotates it as small nucleolar RNA R30/Z108. Lineage: Eukaryota; Viridiplantae; Streptophyta; Magnoliopsida; Proteales; Proteaceae. The transcript has a single exon. The record is from RefSeq and is a predicted model, not a curated record.